This 391-nucleotide ribosomal RNA is filed under the name uncultured bacterium. Its description in RNAcentral is "bacterial SSU rRNA". It matches the Rfam family "Bacterial small subunit ribosomal RNA", at positions 30 to 422 of the family's 1533-position model. The record is from RNAcentral.
AUUGAACGCUGGCGGCAUGCCUUACACAUGCAAGUCGAACGGCAGCACGGGAGCAAUCCUGGUGGCGAGUGGCGAACGGGUGAGUAAUAUAUCGGAACGUGCCCAGUCGUGGGGAUAACGUAGCGAAAGCUACGCUAAUACCGCAUACGAUCUAUGGAUGAAAGCGGGGGAUCGCAAGACCUCGCGCGAUUGGAGCGGCCGAUAUCAGAUUAGGUAGUUGGUGAGGUAAAGGCUCACCAAGCCGACGAUCUGUAGCUGGUCUGAGAGGACGACCAGCCACACUGGGACUGAGACACGGCCCAGACUCCUACGGGAGGCAGCAGUGGGGAAUUUUGGACAAUGGGCGCAAGCCUGAUCCAGCAAUGCCGCGUGCAGGAUGAAGGCCUGGUGU